GACGCUCUCCCCAAGGACGAAGCCAUGCAUGCCCGCUCACCCGGGACGCGGCGGACGGCUCAGGACAACGGUUGCACCCCCCGCGGCGGUCCCUGCUAGCCGGACACCGCUGGCAACCCGGCGCCAAGACGUGGCCGCGCAAGGGCGGGCGCAGCCUCGCGGGCGAGCAGCGUGACGCAG
RNAcentral lists this ribosomal RNA (180 nucleotides) under Giardia duodenalis. RNAcentral describes it as "Giardia intestinalis partial small subunit ribosomal RNA". The record is from RNAcentral. Lineage: Eukaryota; Fornicata; Diplomonadida; Hexamitidae.